UGUUCUCUAAAUAGGGACUAGUAUGAAAGGCACCACGAGGGCUUAACUGUCUCCCUUUUCCAAUUAAUGAAACUGAUCUUCUCGUGAACCCCAUGGAGCUUUAAACUCAUCAUCAUUUACUUUUUUCACAUCAUCACAUAUAGUAAAAAUGUUAACUGAUAGUUUUCGGCUGGGGUGACCCUGGAGAAAAACAAAUCCUCCAGGAUGAACGGAAUAAUAAUCCUAAUCAAAGAGUCACAACUCUAAGAAUCAAAACAUUGACAUCAUUUGAUCCAAUUACUUGAUCAACGAACCAAGUUACCCUGGGGAUAACAGCGCAAUCCAUUUCAAGAGCCCCUAUCGACAAAUGGGUUUACGACCUCGAUGUUGGAUCGGGGUAUCCCAGUGGCGCAGCCGCUACUAAAGGUUCGUUUGUUCAACGAUUAACAACCCCACGUGAUCU
Molecule: ribosomal RNA, 442 nt
Filed under: Heterixalus madagascariensis (Madagascar reed frog)
Lineage: Eukaryota; Metazoa; Chordata; Amphibia; Anura; Hyperoliidae
Description: partial large subunit ribosomal RNA
Rfam family: Bacterial large subunit ribosomal RNA
Source: RNAcentral